AUUAUGACGUACUUGUACUGAUUGAGAUUUUAACACGAAGUGAGUGGCGAACGGGUGAGUAACACGUGGGUAACCUGCCCAGAAGUAGGGGAUAACACCUGGAAACAGAUGCUAAUACCGUAUAACAGAGAAAACCGCAUGGUUUUCUUUUAAAAGAUGGCUCUGCUAUCACUUCUGGAUGGACCCGCGGCGUAUUAGCUAGUUGGUGAGGUAAAGGCUCACCAAGGCAGUGAUACGUAGCCGACCUGAGAGGGUAAUCGGCCACAUUGGGACUGAGACACGGCCCAGACUCCUACGGGAGGCAGCAGUAGGGAAUCUUCCACAAUGGACGCAAGUCUGAUGGAGCAACGCCGCGUGAGUGAAGAAGGGUUUCGGCUCGUAAAGCUCUGUUGUUAAAGAAGAACGUGGGUAAGAGUAACUGUUUACCCAGUGACGGUAUUUAACCAGAAAGCCACGGCUAACUACGUGCCAGCAGCCGCGGUAAUACGUAGGUGGCAAGCGUUAUCCGGAUUUAUUGGGCGUAAAGCGAGCGCAGGCGGUCUUUUAAGUCUAAUGUGAAAGCCUUCGGCUCAACCGAAGAAGUGCAUUGGAAACUGGGAGACUUGAGUGCAGAAGAGGACAGUGGAACUCCUGGGUUAAGGCGGG
Molecule: ribosomal RNA, 645 nt
Filed under: Pediococcus pentosaceus
Lineage: Bacteria; Bacillati; Bacillota; Bacilli; Lactobacillales; Lactobacillaceae
Description: bacterial SSU rRNA
Rfam family: Bacterial small subunit ribosomal RNA
Source: RNAcentral